This 85-nucleotide microRNA precursor is filed under the name Solanum tuberosum (potato). RNAcentral describes it as "MIR8024 microRNA precursor family". It matches the Rfam family "MIR8024 microRNA precursor family". Lineage: Eukaryota; Viridiplantae; Streptophyta; Magnoliopsida; Solanales; Solanaceae. The record is from Rfam by way of RNAcentral.
UUGGAGGAUUUGAAGACUUCAACUUGCAGACUUGACAAAUUUGAGACUUUAACUUCCAGACUUGACAAUUUUGAAGACUUCAAGU